GGGGUCGAUGUGGUUUCGACUGCGUGCAUUAAGCCAGGGGAAGCGUGCCGGUGCAGGCUAGAGACCACCGUAUAAGCGUCGUAGCGAUCAAUAAACGCAGAGAACAACUCUCAGCGUGACUACGCCCUCGCUGCCUAAUUUCAGCGACGCGUGUCUGUCAGCCUAGGCUCCGUUCCUGGCCUAGAUCCUGGCAUCGACUAGGGAACUUGCUCUUUGAUCGAGUCAUCAGGGUCAAAGGGGACUCCCACUGCUGACUGGGCCCAUCAUCCGGAGGUGUUUGCCCCAUCCGGAGGGUCGAGCAGAGAUUCCGCGCGAACUGCGCACGGAGAAGCCCUGGCAAGGUGACGUAGGACCCGGGUUCAAUUCCCGGCGGCUCCACGG
Non-coding RNA from Corynebacterium vitaeruminis DSM 20294, 381 nucleotides. It matches the Rfam family "transfer-messenger RNA". Rfam says of the family: Bacterial tmRNA, also known as 10Sa RNA or SsrA, is named for its dual tRNA and mRNA-like properties. Its role is to liberate the mRNA from a stalled ribosome. The record is from Rfam. NCBI's taxonomy places the organism in Bacteria, Bacillati, Actinomycetota, Actinomycetes, Mycobacteriales, Corynebacteriaceae.